RNAcentral lists this ribosomal RNA (252 nucleotides) under uncultured bacterium. Its description in RNAcentral is "partial 16S ribosomal RNA". It matches the Rfam family "Bacterial small subunit ribosomal RNA", at positions 524 to 776 of the family's 1533-position model. The record is from RNAcentral.
UACGGAGGAUCCAAGCGUUAUCCGGAAUCAUUGGGUUUAAAGGGUCCGUAGGCGGUUUAGUAAGUCAGUGGUGAAAGCCCAUCGCUCAACGGUGGAACGGCCAUUGAUACUGCUAGACUUGAAUUAUUAGGAAGUAACUAGAAUAUGUAGUGUAGCGGUGAAAUGCUUAGAGAUUACAUGGAAUACCAAUUGCGAAGGCAGGUUACUACUAAUGAUUGACGCUGAUGGACGAAAGCGUGGGUAGCGAACAGG